RNAcentral lists this ribosomal RNA (538 nucleotides) under uncultured bacterium. Its description in RNAcentral is "bacterial SSU rRNA". It matches the Rfam family "Bacterial small subunit ribosomal RNA", at positions 8 to 521 of the family's 1533-position model. The record is from RNAcentral.
AGAGUUUGAUCCUGGCUCAGGAUGAACGCUGGCGGCGUGCUUAACACAUGCAAGUCGAGCGAAGCACUUCGUUUUGAAUCUUCGGAGGAAGAACGGAAUGACUGAGCGGCGGACGGGUGAGUAACGCGUGGGCAACCUACCUCAUACAGGGGGAUAACAGUUAGAAAUGACUGCUAAUACCGCAUAAGACCGCGGUACCGCAUGGUACAGCGGUAAAAACUCCGGUGGUAUGAGAUGGGCCCGCGUCUGAUUAACUAGUUGGUGAGGCAACGGCCCACCAAGGCGACGAUCAGUAGCCGACCUGAGAGGGUGACCGGCCACAUUGGGACUGAGACACGGCCCAAACUCCUACGGGAGGCAGCAGUGGGGAAUCUUCCACAAUGGACGCAAGUCUGAUGGAGCAACGCCGCGUGAGUGAAGAAGGGUUUCGGCUCGUAAAGCUCUGUUGGUAGUGAAGAAAGAUAGAGGUAGUAACUGGCCUUUAUUUGACGGUAAUUACCUAGAAAGUCACGGCUAACUACGUGCCAGCAGCCGCGGU